UGGUCACCAGGUUUCACAGCCCAGGGAGCGGUGUCACCUCUCUGGAAUCCAGAAUCGUGGGUGGGGUGAACUACUACUUCAAUGUGAAGUUCGGUCGAACCACAUGCACCAAGUCCCAGCCCAACUUGGACAACUGUCCCUUCAAUGACCAGCCAAAACUGAAAGAGGAAGAGUUCUGCUCUUUCCAGAUCAAUGAAGUUCCCUGGGAGGAUAAAAUUUCCAUUCUGAACUACAAGUGCCGGAAAGUCUAGGGGUCUGUGCAAGGCCUGUCACACUGACCACCUCCUACUCCCACCCCCUGUAGUGCUCCCACCCCUGGACUGGUGGCCCCCACCCUGGGGGAGGUCUCCUCAUGCGCCUGCACCAGGAGACAGACACAGAAGGUGGCAGGAGGCCUUUGUUGCUCAGCAGGAGGCUCUGCCCUUGCUCCUUCCUUCUUGCUUCUCAUAGCCCCAGUGUGCAGUGCACACUCUCCCACCUCCUGCAAUUAAACAGUAG
This 498-nucleotide long non-coding RNA is filed under the name Homo sapiens (human). Its description in RNAcentral is "HSALNT0400274". The record is from RNAcentral. Lineage: Eukaryota; Metazoa; Chordata; Mammalia; Primates; Hominidae.